RNAcentral lists this ribosomal RNA (253 nucleotides) under uncultured bacterium. RNAcentral describes it as "partial 16S ribosomal RNA". It matches the Rfam family "Bacterial small subunit ribosomal RNA", at positions 524 to 776 of the family's 1533-position model. The record is from RNAcentral.
UACAGAGGUCCCAAGCGUUGUUCGGAUUCACUGGGCGUAAAGGGUGCGUAGGCGGUCGGGUAAGUCUGAUGUGAAAUCCCACAGCUUAACUGUGAAACUGCAUUGGAUACUAUCCGGCUAGAGGAAUGGAGGGGAGACUGGAAUACUUGGUGUAGCAGUGAAAUGCGUAGAUAUCAAGUGGAACACCAGUGGCGAAGGCGAGUCUCUGGACAUUUCCUGACGCUGAGGCACGAAAGCCAGGGGAGCAAACGGG